RNAcentral lists this ribosomal RNA (449 nucleotides) under uncultured bacterium. Its description in RNAcentral is "partial 16S ribosomal RNA". It matches the Rfam family "Bacterial small subunit ribosomal RNA", at positions 29 to 523 of the family's 1533-position model. The record is from RNAcentral.
AGCGAACGCUGGCGGCAGGCUUAACACAUGCAAGUCGAACGCAUCCUUCGGGGUGAGUGGCAGACGGGUGAGUAACACGUGGGAACAUACCUUUUGGUUCGGAAUAACUCAUGGAAACGUGAGCUAAUACCGGAUACGCCCUUUUGGGGAAAGAUGUAUUGCCGAAAGAUUGGCCCGCGUCUGAUUAGCUGGUUGGUGAGGUAAUGGCUCACCAAGGCGACGAUCAGUAGCUGGUCUGAGAGGAUGAUCAGCCACACUGGGACUGAGACACGGCCCAGACUCCUACGGGAGGCGGCAGUGGGGAAUAUUGGACAAUGGGCGCAAGCCUGAUCCAGCCAGGCCGCGUGAGUGAUGAAGUCCUUAGAGUUGUAAAGCUCUUUUAUCCGGGAAGUUAAUGACUGUACCGGAAGAAUAAGCCCCGGCUAACUUCGUGCCAGCCGCCGCCGUAA